This 423-nucleotide ribosomal RNA is filed under the name uncultured bacterium. RNAcentral describes it as "partial 16S ribosomal RNA". It matches the Rfam family "Bacterial small subunit ribosomal RNA", at positions 361 to 776 of the family's 1533-position model. The record is from RNAcentral.
AUAUUGGACAAUGGGGGGAACCCUGAUCCAGCCAUGCCGCGUUUGUCAAGAAGGUCUUCGGAUUGUAAAGCACUUUAAGCUGGGAGGAAGGGUUGUAGGUUAAUACCCUGCAAUUCUGACGUUACCAUCUGAAUAAGCACCGGCUAACUUCGUGCCAGCUGCCGCGGUAAUACGAAGGGUGCAAGCGUUAAUCGGAAUUACUGGGCCUAAAGCGCGCGUAGGUGGUUCGUUAAGUUGGAAGUGAAAGCCCCGGGCUUAACCUGGGAAUUGCUUUCAAAACUGACGAGCUAGAGUACGGUAGAGGGUAGUGGAAUUUCCUGUGUAGCGGUGAAAUGCGUAGAUAUAGGAAGGAACAUCAGUGGCGAAGGCGACUACCUGGACUGAUACUGACACUGAGGUGCGAAAGCGUGGGGAGCAAACAGG